This 492-nucleotide ribosomal RNA is filed under the name uncultured bacterium. RNAcentral describes it as "partial 16S ribosomal RNA". It matches the Rfam family "Bacterial small subunit ribosomal RNA", at positions 29 to 507 of the family's 1533-position model. The record is from RNAcentral.
AGUGAACGCUGGCGGUAGGCCUAACACAUGCAAGUCGAACGGCAGCACAGUAAGAGCUUGCUCUUACGGGUGGCGGGUGGCGGACGGGUGAGGAAUACAUCGGAAUCUACUUUUUCGUGGGGGAUAACGUAGGGAAACUUACGCUAAUACCGCAUACGACCUACGGGUGAAAGCAGGGGAUCUUCGGACCUUGCGCGAUUGAAUGAGCCGAUGUCGGAUUAGCUAGUUGGCGGGGUAAAGGCCCACCAAGGCGACGAUCCGUAGCUGGUCUGAGAGGAUGAUCAGCCACACUGGAACUGAGACACGGUCCAGACUCCUACGGGAGGCAGCAAUGGGGAAUAUUGGACAAUGGGCGCAAGCCUGAUCCAGCCAUACCGCGUGGGUGAAGAAGGCCUUCGGGUUGUAAAGCCCUUUUGUUGGGAAAGAAAAGCAGCAGGUUAAUACCCCGCUGUUCUGACGGUACCCAAAGAAUAAGCACCGGCUAACUUCGUG